This 489-nucleotide ribosomal RNA is filed under the name uncultured bacterium. Its description in RNAcentral is "bacterial SSU rRNA". It matches the Rfam family "Bacterial small subunit ribosomal RNA", at positions 28 to 523 of the family's 1533-position model. The record is from RNAcentral.
GACGAACGCUGGCGGCGUGCUUAACACAUGCAAGUCGAGCGGUAAGGCCCUUUCGGGGGUACACGAGCGGCGAACGGGUGAGUAACACGUGGGUGACCUGCCCUCAGCUCUGGGAUAAGCCUGGGAAACUGGGUCUAAUACCGGAUAUGACUCCAUGACGCAUGUUGUGGGGUGGAAAGCCUUGUGCGGCUGAGGAUGGGGCCCGCGGCCUAUCAGCUUGUUGGUGGGGUGANGGCCUACCAAGGCGACGACGGGUAGCCGGCCUGAGAGGGCGACCGGCCACACUGGGACUGAGACACGGCCCAGACUCCUACGGGAGGCAGCAGUGGGGAAUCUUGCGCAAUGGGCGAAAGCCUGACGCAGCGACGCCGCGUGGGGAUGAAGGUCUUCGGAUUGUAAACCCCUUUAGGAGGGAAAUGGGACGAGCAAUCGUCCGGAUGGUACCUACCAGAAAAGCCACGGCUAACUUCGUGCCAGCCGCCGCAGUAA